Molecule: ribosomal RNA, 669 nt
Filed under: Jiangella sp.
Lineage: Bacteria; Bacillati; Actinomycetota; Actinomycetes; Jiangellales; Jiangellaceae
Description: bacterial SSU rRNA
Rfam family: Bacterial small subunit ribosomal RNA
Source: RNAcentral
GUACUCGAGCGGCGAACGGGUGAGUAACACGUGGGUAACCUGCCUUCAGCUCUGGGAUAAGCCUGGGAAACUGGGUCUAAUACCGGAUAUGACACGCGACCGCAUGGUGUGUGUGUGGAAAGAUUUUUUGGCUGGAGAUGGACUCGCGGCCUAUCAGCUUGUUGGUGGGGUAGUGGCCUACCAAGGCGAUGACGGGUAGCCGGCCUGAGAGGGCGACCGGCCACACUGGGACUGAGACACGGCCCAGACUCCUACGGGAGGCAGCAGUGGGGAAUAUUGCGCAAUGGGCGAAAGCCUGACGCAGCAACGCCGCGUGAGGGAUGACGGCCUUCGGGUUGUAAACCUCUUUCAGCGCUGACGAAGCCUCUUCGGGGGUGACGGUAGGCGCAGAAGAAGCACCGGCUAACUACGUGCCAGCAGCCGCGGUAAUACGUAGGGUGCGAGCGUUGUCCGGAAUUAUUGGGCGUAAAGGGCUCGUAGGCGGUUUGUUGCGUCUGCUGUGAAAGCCCGGGGCUUAACCCCGGGUCUGCAGUGGAUACGGGCAGGCUAGAGUCCGGCAGGGGAGACUGGAAUUCCUGGUGUAGCGGUGGAAUGCGCAGAUAUCAGGAGGAACACCGGUGGCGAAGGCGGGUCUCUGGGCCGGUACUGACGCUGAGGAGCGAAAGCGUG